This 69-nucleotide transfer RNA is filed under the name Ictidomys tridecemlineatus (thirteen-lined ground squirrel). RNAcentral describes it as "Spermophilus tridecemlineatus (thirteen-lined ground squirrel) tRNA". It matches the Rfam family "tRNA". From Rfam's summary of the family: Transfer RNA (tRNA) molecules are approximately 80 nucleotides in length. Lineage: Eukaryota; Metazoa; Chordata; Mammalia; Rodentia; Sciuridae. The record is from Rfam by way of RNAcentral.
GGGGUUGUGGCUCAGUGAUAGAGCGCUCACCUAGCACAUGUGAGGCCCUGGGUUCAAUCCUCAGCACCA